Hemicordylus capensis (graceful crag lizard) is the source of this 2901-nucleotide long non-coding RNA. RefSeq lists it as uncharacterized. The record is from RefSeq and is a predicted model, not a curated record. The transcript has 3 exons. NCBI's taxonomy places the organism in Eukaryota, Metazoa, Chordata, Lepidosauria, Squamata, Cordylidae.
CCUUCUGGAAAACUAGAAGUGGAGGAUCCAAGCAUAAAGCUCACAACUCCCUCACCCUCCAGGUUGACGUAAUUGCAACCGAGAAAAGAGUUUUAAGUGUUAACAAAUGAAAGUUGCAUAUAGUCAUGGGUUCAAAGGGUUUACCUGUGAGGGCAAAUAGUACCCAGGGCAGAUCCCAUGCAGGAGCGACAGAGGGUGUGUCUGGAUGGAGAUAUGCCAAACCCUUCGGAAACUGUUUGAUCUCCUGGAGAGCAAAUAGAGAAAGAGCCCAAGGGGGGGGGAUUGGAGGGCCAAUAUGGCAGCCAGGUGAACCCUGACUGAUGACAUGGAAAGUCCAGAUCUCGAGUCCCAGCAAAUAUGAGGAUGGUUGGCACUGACACCGAACGUGGAUCAACAAUACCGAUUGAUUUUACAUACUCUGAAAACCGCUUCCACUUCGCCUUGUAUGAGGACAUAGUAUAUGGAUUCCUACAUGCUGAAAGAAUGUCCUUCAACUCUGAGGAGCAGGCAGUUUGAUCUGCCAUGCUGUUAGUGUCUGUACAUCUGGGUGAAGCACUCUCCUCUUCCAUUGUGAUAGUAGCAUUGGGAGGAGUGGGAGACGGAUGAAUAGCCUCUUGGACAGGUGUAGAAGGCGUGGGGACCAUGGGCACCAAGGCCACCAGAGCACCACCAGGAUGCAGUUCCCACCUUCGUACUCCAGCUUCUGAGAAUCCUUGGAAGAAGUGGGAUCAGCUGAAACAGGAAGACAAAUAGGCCUAACCAUGAUAUCACCAGAUAGUGAGGAAGAAGAAGAUACUGACAGGCCUCCAGCCGAUGCAGGGGUACAUGGGGGGCAGAGCCCGGCCGUCAGUUCCCAAGAAAUAGCCAAAGCAGGUCCGGCUGCUGUUCCAGAACAUACACAGCAGUCUGAGGCAGCAGAGUCAGGGAUUGAGGAAUCAGGUGAUGAGUUAAAUAGGCAACCCCCAAUGACUCUGCAACCGAGGAGAGUCACAAGACAGCACCAACAGCCAGAAACCGUCAGGAGAAGUAGGUGGCUCUUUCAGAAGGUUGAUAAGCCUGGAAUUCCUGCCAGCUGAGAGUUAUCAGCUCAGACUAUAAAUCACAUCUGCAGCCUGCAGUCAGGUGCUGCAAGACAACACACGUCUUUCGCUGAGCAUUACCUGCCCCUAACCUGAGCCAGAGAGAUUCCUAGCCGUGUUUUAGCCUCUGCGACCCAGACUGGUUUCUGACUGGAACACUGUCUCUUGCCGUGCCCUGCUCUGCUUCUGGCUCUGAAGACUCAACAACUUCUCUGCUUCGUCCCUUUCUGGACAGACCCCCACACCGGGUGGCUUGGUUGCUGACAGUCUCAAAGAUGAGCUCCCCAGCCUUCUUCGGAGGCAUCUGUCAUCACUUGUGCAUGUGGCUUUUGAACAGAGUGGACUGAUGAAGAUUUUGUUGUAAAAUCCACCAUUUUAGGGCAGCUUGAAUAUGUCCCGGAAGAGUCACUAGUCUGGAACUGUGAUGCCUUAUUCGGUGAAAAAUGUCCAGAAACCAACGCUGCAGAGGUCUUACAUGCAGCCAGGCGGUUGAUGAGAUAGCAGUCAUAGAGGCCAUCAGGCCUAGCUACACUGCACUUGGCGUACCCUGUGUGUAGCAAAAAGUGGCAUCAGAGAAGCCAGUUCCUUGAUCUGACAGAUACGUUCUUGCAGCAGACGCACUGUGGCUCUGAUGGAAUCAAAGAUCAUUCGCAAGAACCUUAUCCUGUGCAUGAGAGCCAACUGAGAUUUCUUGUAAUUUACAUUCAGACCCAAGAGCAUGAGUGUUUGCUGAAGGUGGUCUUGAAGAAGCUCUGGAGACUUUGCAGACAGUAUCCAGUCAUCCAAAUAUGGAAAAAUUUGAAUCCCUUUCUCUUGUAAGAGUCCCAUAAUGGCUGCCAUGCACUUCGUGAAUACCCUUGGGGCGAAGGAUAAUCCAAAAGGCAUGGCCUUGAACUGGAAAGUGUUUGUGCCUGCCUGGAAAUGUAAGUAUUUCCUGUGCUGUGGAUGGAUGGAUAUGUGAUAGUAUGCAUCUUCUAGGUCUAUGGAAACGAACUACAUCCCCUGUGAUAGAACUGCUAGAAUAUCCACUAUAGUGAGCAUUUAGAAACACCUGCAGUCUACAUAGGAAUUGAGUCUUAGAUCUAAUAUCGACCAAAGGCCACUGUCCCUCUUUGGUAUAGUAAAGUAUGGGGAGAAAAGACCGUCUUCCACAUGGGGGUGGGUGGGUAUUGGUUCUAUUGCCCCUUUUCAGAGAAGAGUAUCUAUUUCUCCCUGAAGAGUAGCGUGCAAAGGUGUGACCUUUCUUCCCAAAGCUUGGAGGUGUUCCACAAAUUCUAUAGCGUUGCACAGAUGAACGAUAGUGAAGAUCCCGACAUUGGAAGUGAUACGUUCCCAUUCUUCCAGGUACGGGCGCAGACGCGUUCCAAUCCAGGGGUAGUCACAAUCUUUUGUUGAAAGAAGAAGACUUGGGCUUUUGCUGACCAGACUUGGAGUUCGAGAAAGGUCGCUUCUUGUACUGUUGGGUGAACUGGCCAGGCUGUCAAACGGCAGGUCUUCUACACGUGUUCUCGCCUCUGGGUUCAAUUCUGAAGAAUGCAGCCACGCAUGUCGUCACAGCAAAACUGCCAAUGCUCUAGCAGCACAAUAUGUGGAAUGAUGAGAAGUGUGUAACAGUUUGCUUAAACUACAUCCGUCACGCUGUAAGGCAAGAGCAUUUCUACAAAGAACGAAAGGCACAAGGGCGGGCUGGCUUCUGGUCUCCGUUUGUAAGCGAAUGUAGAUCUGUGAUCUCCGUGAUGGCACAAAUAUAAACAGGGUACCCUUAUUUUCAUUAGUGCAUGGAGAAUCCAGUUGUGGAUGGUGAUGGACUACAAACCCUGGC